RNAcentral lists this ribosomal RNA (500 nucleotides) under uncultured bacterium. Its description in RNAcentral is "partial 16S ribosomal RNA". It matches the Rfam family "Bacterial small subunit ribosomal RNA", at positions 30 to 523 of the family's 1533-position model. The record is from RNAcentral.
AUUGAACGCUGGCGGCAUGCUUUACACAUGCAAGUCGAACGGCAGCACGGACUUCGGUCUGGUGGCGAGUGGCGAACGGGUGUGUAACAUAUCGGAACGUAUCCAAUAAUGGGGGAUAACGAGUCGAAAGAUUCGCUAACACCGCAUACGCCCUACGGGGGAAAGCGGGGGACCUUCGGGCCUGGCGUUAAUGGCGCGGGCGAUAUCUGAAUAGCUAGUGGGUGAGGAAAAGGCUCACCAAGGCGACGAUCAGUAGCUGGUCUGAGAGGACGACCAGCCACACUGGAGCUGAGACACGGUCCAGACUCCUACGGGAGGCAGCAGUGGGGAAUUUUGGACAAUGGACGCAAGUCUGCUCCAGCCAUGCCGCGUGAGUGAAGAAGGCCUUCGGGUUGUAAAGCUCUUUCGCAAGGGAAGAAACCUUAGCCACUAACAUUGGUUGGGGUUGACGGUACCUUGAUAAGAAGCACCGGCUAACUACGUGCCAGCCGCCGCGGUAA